Molecule: ribosomal RNA, 446 nt
Filed under: uncultured bacterium
Lineage: Bacteria
Description: partial 16S ribosomal RNA
Rfam family: Bacterial small subunit ribosomal RNA
Source: RNAcentral
CCUACGGGGUGCAGCAGUCGAGAAUCAUUCACAAUGGGGGAAACCCUGAUGGUGCGACGCCGCGUGGGGGAAUGAAGGUCUUCGGAUUGUAAACCCCUGUCAUGUGGGAGCAAAUUAAAAAGAUAGUACCCCAAGAGGAAGAGACGGCUAACUCUGUGCCAGCAGCCGCGGUAAUACAGAGGUCUCAAGCGUUGUUCGGAAUCACUGGGCGUAAAGCGUGCGUAGGCUGUUUCGUAAGUCGUGUGUGAAAGGCGCGGGCUCAACCCGCGGACGGCACAUGAUACUGCGAGACUAGAGUAAUGGAGGGGGAACCGGAAUGCUCGGUGUAGCAGUGAAAUGCGUAGAUAUCGAGAGGAACACUCGUGGCGAAGGCGGGUUCCUGGACAUUAACUGACGCUGAGGCACGAAGGCCAGGGGAGCGAAAGGGAUUAGAUACCCUUGUAGUC